GGAGUCGGCCGGACAGUCGCUGCCGCUUAGGCGGGAGAGGAAAGUCCGGGCUCCGAAGGGCGGAGUGCCAGGUAAUACCUGGGGGGCGCGAGCCUACGGAAAGUGCCACAGAAAAUAAACCGCCAAGGGCGUUUGAUGAGCAAGCGCACUUGGUAAGGGUGAAAAGGUGCGGUAAGAGCGCACCGCGUUCCUGGUAACAGAGACGGCAGGGUAAACCCCACUCGGAGCAAGACCAAAUAGGGGAGCAAUGGUGUGGCCCGCACAAGCUCCUGGGUAGGUCGCUAGAAGCAUGCGGUGACGUAUGUUCUAGAUGAAUGACUGUCCACGACAGAACCCGGCUUACAGGCCGGCUCCCCCC
RNAcentral lists this RNase P RNA (358 nucleotides) under Gammaproteobacteria bacterium. RNAcentral describes it as "RNase P RNA component class A". It matches the Rfam family "Bacterial RNase P class A". From Rfam's summary of the family: Ribonuclease P (RNase P) is a ubiquitous endoribonuclease, found in archaea, bacteria and eukarya as well as chloroplasts and mitochondria. Its best characterised activity is the generation of mature 5'-ends of tRNAs by cleaving the 5'-leader elements of precursor-tRNAs. Lineage: Bacteria; Pseudomonadati; Pseudomonadota; Gammaproteobacteria. The record is from RNAcentral.